AUGAGAAGAAUUGAAGAUUUUUUAGCUUGUCAUGAUAUCGCAAGCCUAGCUAAAAAGAUGGUUGAACUUGAAAGGCAUGUUAUGUUUCCUGCUGUUUAUCGCCUCAUUGAGUCGAUGGCAACAGUUGAAAGAGCCUUCUCAUCAAUAAAAAUCAUCAAGACUGAGUUGCGCAGCAAGAUGUCUGAUGGCUGGCUUAAUGACUUGACGGUGUGUCACAUUGAGCGAGAGAUCUUCAAAAGUAUUGAUCUUGGUAAAAUUAAGGAAGAUUUUCAGAAGAAGGGUAGGGCACUGCUGAUGUCUACUACGCAACCUUCUUCU
Molecule: ribosomal RNA, 318 nt
Filed under: Triticum aestivum (bread wheat)
Lineage: Eukaryota; Viridiplantae; Streptophyta; Magnoliopsida; Poales; Poaceae
Description: partial small subunit ribosomal RNA
Source: RNAcentral